GUGCUGGCUAUGGCAGCAUAUGUACGAAAAUUGGAAUGAUACAGAGAUUAGCAUGGCUCCUGUGCAAGGAUGACACCAAUUCCAAAGCAUUCCAUAUAAGAAAU
Molecule: small nuclear RNA, 104 nt
Organism: Papio anubis (olive baboon)
Lineage: Eukaryota; Metazoa; Chordata; Mammalia; Primates; Cercopithecidae
Source: Ensembl